AGAGGUGUGGUUGGUUUCUUUCUUUUAACUUGCUGAGGAGUAUUUUGAACCUUAAAACUGAUGGGUAGUGUAGGGGUAUGAAAGGUGUCUGAGUUCAGCACUGAAGGAGACUGCUGAGGCCUUGGUCCCACAUGCUGGCAGAAGAUUCCCUCUAUUGUUCAGGAUUUAGUCAUGACUCCCACAGAAACUUCAGUAUGUGGAUUUCACACUGUGAUGAAAAGCGAGGAGAGGGAGGCCCAGGGGAAGUCCUUUCUCUAAACCUUGGCUUUCACAUGUGUUGGUGUUUCUCUUGAAGAUGAUGGCUUGCCUUUGUGCUAGCUCAGCCCUCAAGCAUGGGAGCAGACAGAGAAGAAGACAGCAGGGCAGACUUCUCAAGAGGCAUCUGCCAUUUCAGAUGCCACCCAAGCUUCCUAAAGUAGAUCAGUAACUCGACAAGUUACAGAGCACUGGAAACUGCAGUGACAUGGAUGAAGUCCACUCAGCCUUCAGGCUGGCUUAGUCCUGUGGAUCAAAAGGGAAAUUCUGGGCAAGAGGAGCAUCUGUAGGGCCUGAGGUUGGCUGUCACUGUAUGCUCAAGAUACUGCUGCACCUGGCUAGCUGAUGCCCAGCAGCCUUUUGGAGGCAGAAGGUUUGUGGGCAGUGAAACAGGGACAACGUUUUUGGUGUUGUUCAAAUCAGGUGCAGAGGACUAAAAUCACAGCAGUCUGGUCUGUCCACAGACCAUGCCAGUGUGUGCACCCAGCGUUCAGCCUCUCAGGAUUACAAUUUAUUAAGCCAGCUUUCUUAUUUCAGUGCUGGGCAGCAACUGUCAGCCUCGGGGGCCUCAUCACAUUCUGGGGUUGUGAGAAACUUUUCAGCCCUAGGAGCAGAAUUGACUCUCCAUGCCUCUGCUACUGAGCAGAGCAGGAAGCCUCAUGUGGAAUGCUUCUGGAAGUGCUUAUGUCUGUGGGAAUCAGGCACCAGCUCAGUUAGGCACAGAUUAUUUGCAAAAUAUUCUUUUUCUUCCCUUAUUUCCAGCCAGUGUAAAGUCCACAUCUUGCACGUGUUGGUAGGGUCUUUUUAGCAGCUAGUGGGCCAUGGGAAGAGCUAAGUCCCCUCUGGGUUCUUGUCUGUUAACCAUGCUUGCAAUGCAGUUAGUUAUUGCUGCUACUAGUUUCUCCUUCACUUUUAUUAAAUAGUGUUUUCUGUUUGCAGUCUGCUAAAUGGUUUGUUGGCUUUAGUUUUGUUGAUGUAAUAACUCCUGCUUUCCUGCCAGCACCAACUUCAUUGCCUGAGGUAAUGGUUUUUGGCUGUUCAAACCUGACUAUCAGAAGGUGUCCAUUUAAUUACAGAGUAUCUCAGUAUAAAUUUCCUGCCAGUCCCUGUCCAGUUCAAUCGUCUGUUCCCUGCUGCAAAUCAGUUUUCCUGCUCUCUGUCCAUUUUUCCCAGGGAAUAGGUGGGACCUAGCGUUGGCAUUAACGUAUCUGUCUUUUCACCCUCUAUAAAUAAGUUUAGAAUUAUGUCUAUAUGUGCUGGAAUAGGGUUUUUGUGGGAAACCUAAAUGCUGCCUUGGAAAGAAGCCAUCUGCAAGGAGUUGAAUUAAUAAAGCUUUAUGU
Pezoporus occidentalis (night parrot) is the source of this 1595-nucleotide long non-coding RNA. RefSeq lists it as uncharacterized. The transcript has 3 exons. The record is from RefSeq and is a predicted model, not a curated record. Lineage: Eukaryota; Metazoa; Chordata; Aves; Psittaciformes; Psittacidae.